Long non-coding RNA from Daphnia magna, 298 nucleotides. RefSeq lists it as uncharacterized. Lineage: Eukaryota; Metazoa; Arthropoda; Branchiopoda; Diplostraca; Daphniidae. The transcript is spliced from 2 exons. The record is from RefSeq and is a predicted model, not a curated record.
GUUUCCUGGAAAAAUAACAGCUUUUUUGGAGAUAAAAUUUUUUGUAUUAUAUCAGCACAGAGGGCCCGAGAGGACAAAUACCGCAGGUCGGAAUUCAGCCUUGGCAACUCAGCAUCCGAUCUUGGUCUAUAUUGGCAUGUUGCCCAUGUUGCCUCAUCCGUUAUCGUCUAACUUGUCAAACGUGCUUUAAAAAGUUCAAAUCGUGAAUAGUUUACGUCUAAAACUAAGAUGUUUUCUCACGUUAUGACUAACCGAGAAGAAAUGGAUUCUUUCAAUGUAAACUCUCAAACAAAGCUUG